GGGUCGAUGCCCGAGCGGUUAAUGGGGACGGACUGUAAAUUCGUUGGCGAUGUGUCUACGCUGGUUCAAAUCCAGCUCGGCCCA
This 84-nucleotide transfer RNA is filed under the name Chamaecostus acaulis. RNAcentral's name for it is "tRNA-Tyr". It matches the Rfam family "tRNA". From Rfam's summary of the family: Transfer RNA (tRNA) molecules are approximately 80 nucleotides in length. Their secondary structure includes four short double-helical elements and three loops (D, anti-codon, and T loops). Lineage: Eukaryota; Viridiplantae; Streptophyta; Magnoliopsida; Zingiberales; Costaceae. The record is from RNAcentral.